AUGGGGACUUCCCGGAGCAAACCGGCGCGGGAGUGGCCGCCGGCGCCGCCACCGGAGCCUAGGGUGGAGGUGCCGCCCCUCAUCGAGCCCCCUCCCAACGCCGCCCGCACCAGUGAUCUGUAUAAUCCAGGUACCGUUGCGCACUUUCUUGUGUCAACGGCGAAACCCACUUUGAAGUUAAGCGUUCAUUUUCCUGAGGGUGGUAUUGGUUCCUUUGCGACAAUUCCUUUGCAAGCUGGAAACAGCAUGCUUUCAGAAAAUAAUAGCGUUAUCGGUUUAAGAUAUGAUUCCCAGAAUCUAUCAUUGGGGGCAUCUGUUGUGCCAUUUCUCUGUAAUAUGCUCAUAUUACCUUUCUUUGCAGUACCCGGCGAGGAACCCUCUAUGGUUCCCUAUGGUGCAUGGUUAGUUGGAAGAAUAGGGGGAUUAAGUGCAGGGGCACAAUACAAGCCACUUAGUGACUGGCUUAGCACUCCAACAGAUGGAAGCAUGAAUUGUUUGCCUUUUGAGGACUUGAAGAACUGGGAUUAUGCAAUCAGUUAUGAUGUGGGAUCAGCUAGCCCACUAAGCCCCUCACUAAAUUUUUCUCUAGAGCUUGUCAGAAGUACACAGCUGGUCGCAUCAUUCUAUCAGCACCAGGUUGUCCUAAGGGAGGUAUCACCUGCUACGUGCCAUGUUAGUAAAGUAAAAGGAGGUCCUCGUUUUGAAGAUGCAGACGAAAUUGUAAACUACAUUGAUUUUGGUGUUGAACUAGCCACAAGGGUGGGUAAGGACAAACCAACAGACGAUGCCGACAAUUCCUCGUUUCAGAUAGCUGCAAACUGGCAGGCCAAUAAGAACUUCCUAGUAAAGGGGAAGUUAGGGCCCUCCAAAUCUUCUGUAGCUUUGGCAUUCAAGUCUUGGUGGAAACCCAUGUUUACAUUUAGCUUCACAGCUGUGAAUGAUCAUUCCAAGGGUACAAGAGGGUACGGAUUUGGAAUCCAUGUCGACGAUCAGAGAGACCCAGAUUCCAGCCAUCUCCUCUAG
Molecule: ribosomal RNA, 1023 nt
Filed under: Triticum aestivum (bread wheat)
Lineage: Eukaryota; Viridiplantae; Streptophyta; Magnoliopsida; Poales; Poaceae
Description: partial small subunit ribosomal RNA
Source: RNAcentral